AGUCAUCUUCCUUCCUUAGCCCCUAAAGUGCUGGGAUUAGAGGUUUGCACCACGUCUGGCUCCUAGCACUUUCAUUGAGACAGGAGCUCAUGGUGAUGGAGGGGGAGCCAGAGCACACAUGUGGCAGUCAGAGAACAACUGAGAAUGGUUGUCUUUUUCCACACUGAUGGGGAUGCCAGGGACCAAACUCAAGCACCAGUACGAGAAACAGAACGCCAAACUUUGUGCAAGCAACCUACUACUGAGCAGCAUCUCUUGCUGUUUUCAGUAUAAGUUACAAUAAAUGUAAAACAAAUC
This is a long non-coding RNA of Mus musculus (house mouse), 297 nucleotides long. RefSeq annotates it as RIKEN cDNA 4930529L06 gene. The transcript is spliced from 3 exons. NCBI's taxonomy places the organism in Eukaryota, Metazoa, Chordata, Mammalia, Rodentia, Muridae. The record is from RefSeq and is marked validated.